This 2900-nucleotide ribosomal RNA is filed under the name Christensenellaceae bacterium OttesenSCG-928-M15. Its description in RNAcentral is "23S ribosomal RNA". It matches the Rfam family "Bacterial large subunit ribosomal RNA". Lineage: Bacteria; Bacillati; Bacillota; Clostridia; Christensenellales; Christensenellaceae. The record is from RNAcentral.
GAUCAAGCUAAUAAGAGCAUAGGGUGAAUGCCUUGGCACCAACAGCCGACGAAGGACGUGGUAAGCUGCGAAAAGCUACGGGGAGCUGCAAACAAGCUUCGAUCCGUAGAUGUCCGAAUGGGGAAACCCGGCGGUGGUCAUGCGCCGUCACCGUAUGAUGAAUACAUAGUCAUACGGAGGGAACCCGGUGAACUGAAACAUCUAAGUAGCCGGAGGAAAAGAAAGAAACAUCGAUUUCCUAAGUAGCGGCGAGCGAAAGGGAAGGAGCCUAAACCAGGAGUCUACGGACAUCUGGGGUUAUGGACCUGCAUAAUUCGAAACACUUAUAGCCGAAGAGGUUUGGAAAGGCCUACCAAAGGGGGUAACAGUCCCGUAGGUGAAAUGAGUGUAAGAAGGCGGGUAUCCGGAGUACCACAGGACACGAGUAAUCCGGUGGGAAAUCGGGGGGCCCACCCCCCAAGGCUAAAUACUGUUGGUGACCGAUAGCGAAAUAGUACCGUGAGGGAAAGGUGAAAAGUACCCCGGGAGGGGAGUGAAAGAGAACCUGAAACCCUAUGUUUACAAGCAGAGGGAGCGCAAGCGACCUCGUACUUUUUGUAGAACGGGCCGGCGAGUUACUGUAUGUAGCGAGGUUAAGGUGUAGAGCACCGGAGCCGUAGGGAAACCGAGUUUUAACUGAGCGUAUAGUUGCAUGCAGUAGACCCGAAACCGGGUGACCUAUCCAUGGACAGGUUGAAACGACGGUAAGACGUCGCGGAGGACCGAACCACACGUAUGUUGAAAAAUGCGGGGAUGAGCUGUGGAUAGCGGAGAAAUUCCAAUCGAACUCGGAGAUAGCUGGUUCUCCCCGAAAUAGCUUUAGGGCUAGCCUCGAUAUGGAUUACCGGGGGUAGAGCACUGAAUGGGCUAGGGGGCCACAAAGCUUACCGAACCCUAUCAAACUUCGAAUACCGGAUAAUUUAUAUAUCGGGAGUCAGACAGUGGGAGAUAAGUUUCAUUGUCGAGAGGGAAACAGCCCAGACCAACGACUAAGGUCCCAAAGUACAGGUUAAGUGGGAAAGGAUGUGCAGUUGCGUAGACAACCAGGAUGUUGGCUUAGAAGCAGCCACUCAUUCAAAGAGUGCGUAAUAGCUCACUGGUCGAGUGAUUGUGCGCCGAAAAUGUACCGGGGCUAAACCUGGCACCGAAGUCUUGGAAGAUACCUAGUAUCUUGGUAGGGGAGCAACGAAUACGGGCUGAAGCGGGAGCGUGAGCGACCGUGGACUGUAUUGGAGAGAGAAUGCCGGCAUGAGUAGCGAGAGCAAAGUGAGAAUCUUUGCCGUCGAAAGCCUAAGGUUUCCUGAGGAAGGUUCGUCCUCUCAGGGUAAGUCAGGACCUAAGCCGAGGACAAAAGUCGUAGGCGAUGGACAACAGGUUGAUAUUCCUGUACCACUCUUAGCGUUUGACAGAUGCGGUGACACAGAAGGAUAGGCAGAGCGGAGCGAUGGUAGACUCCGUCCAAGCAGUGAGGCUGGUGUGUAGUGAAGUACGCACACUAUAAGGCUGGGCUGUGAUGGGGACUGAAAAUAAGUAAGGAAGCUGCUGAAUUCACGCUGGCAAGAAAAGCCGCUAUGGAGCAAAAGAGUGCCUGUACCGCAAACCGACACAGGUAGGCGAGGAGAGAAUCCUAAGACGAGCGGGAGAACCCUUGUUAAGGAACUCGGCAAAAUGACCCCGUAACUUAGGGAUAAGGGGAGCCUCGAGAGAGGCCGCAGAGAAUAGGCCCAAGCGACUGUUUAGCAAAAACACAGGUCUGUGCGAAGUAGAAAUACGAAGUAUACGGGCUGACGCCUGCCCAGUGCUGGAAGGUUAAGGGGAAGUGUUAGGAGCAAUCCGAAGCACGGAACUUAAGCCCCAGUGAACGGCGGCCGUAACUAUAACGGUCCUAAGGUAGCGAAAUUCCUUGUCGGGUAAGUUCCGACCCGCACGAAUGGCGUAACGAUUUGGGCACUGUCUCAACAAGGGACCCGGCGAAAUUGUAGUAUGCGUGAAGAUGCGCAUUACCCGCGAUAGGACGGAAAGACCCCGUAGAGCUUUACUGUAGCUUGGCAUUGGAUUUUGGUAACAUAUGUACAGGAUAGGUGGGAGGCUGAGAAAUGAGGACGCCAGUUCUCAUGGAGCCAACCUUGGGAUACCACUCUUGUGUUACUGGAGUUCUAACGUGCGGCCGUGAUCCGGCGCAUGGACAGUGCCAGGUGGGCAGUUUGACUGGGGCGGUCGCCUCCGAAAGAGUAACGGAGGCGUCCAAAGGUUCCCUCAGAAUGGUUGGAAACCAUUCGCAGAGUAUAAAGGCAGAAGGGAGCCUGACUGCGAGAGAGACAUCUCGAGCAGGGACGAAAGUCGGGCUUAGUGAUCCGGCGGUAUGAGAGUGGAAUUGCCGUCGCUCAACGGAUAAAAGCUACCUCGGGGAUAACAGGCUUAUCUCCCCCAAGAGUCCACAUCGACGGGGAGGUUUGGCACCUCGAUGUCGGCUCGUCGCAUCCUGGGGCUGGAGCAGGUCCCAAGGGUUUGGCUGUUCGCCAAUUAAAGCGGCACGCGAGCUGGGUUCAGAACGUCGUGAGACAGUUCGGUCCCUAUCCAUCGUGGGCGCAGGAGAUUUGAGAGGAGCUGUCCUUAGUACGAGAGGACCGGGAUGGACGUACCAAGGGUGCAUCAGUUGUCACGCCAGUGGCAUAGCUGGGUAGCCAAGUACGGAUUGGAUAAACGCUGAAGGCAUCUAAGCGUGAAGCCAACCUCAAGAUAAGAUCUCCCAUCCAGAAAUGGAGUAAGGCCCCUGGAAGACUACCAGGUUGAUAGGCCGGAGGUGGAAGUGCAGUAAUGUAUGCAGCUGACCGGUACUAAUAGGCCGAGGGCUUGAUCCU